This 253-nucleotide ribosomal RNA is filed under the name uncultured bacterium. RNAcentral's name for it is "partial 16S ribosomal RNA". It matches the Rfam family "Bacterial small subunit ribosomal RNA", at positions 524 to 776 of the family's 1533-position model. The record is from RNAcentral.
UACGUAGGGUCCAAGCGUUAAUCGGAAUUACUGGGCGUAAAGCGCACGUAGGCGGAUAUUUAAGUCAGGGGUGAAAUCCCAGAGCUCAACUCUGGAACUGCCUUUGAUACUGGGUAUCUCGAGUAUGGAAGAGGUGAGUGGAAUUCCGAGUGUAGAGGUGAAAUUCGUAGAUAUUCGGAGGAACACCAGUGGCGAAGGCGGCUCACUGGUCCAUUACUGACGCUGAGGUGCGAAAGCGUGGGGAGCAAACAGG